CCUACGGGGGGCAGCAGUGGGGAAUAUUGGGCAAUGGGCGCAAGCCUGACCCAGCAACGCCGCGUGAAGGAAGAAGGCUUUCGGGUUGUAAACUUCUUUUGUCAGGGAAGAGUAGAAGACGGUACCUGACGAAUAAGCCACGGCUAACUACGUGCCAGCAGCCGCGGUAAUACGUAGGUUGCAAGCGGUGUCCGGAUUUACUGGGUGUAAAGGGCGUGUAGCCGGGUUGACAAGUCAGAUGUGAAAUCCUGCGGCUUAACCGCAGAACUGCAUUUGAAACUGUUGAUCUUGAGUACUGGAGAGGUAGAUGGAAUUUCUGGUGUAGCGGUGAAAUGCGUAGAUAUUAGGAGGAACACCAGUGGCGAAGGCGGUCUGCUGGACAGCAACUGACGGUGAGGCGCGAAAGCGUGGGGAGCAAACAGGAUUAGAUACCCCUGUAGUC
RNAcentral lists this ribosomal RNA (442 nucleotides) under uncultured bacterium. Its description in RNAcentral is "partial 16S ribosomal RNA". It matches the Rfam family "Bacterial small subunit ribosomal RNA", at positions 338 to 795 of the family's 1533-position model. The record is from RNAcentral.